UAGGGAAUUUUCGGCAAUGGACGAAAGCCUGACCGAGCAACGCCGCGUUAGUGAAGAAGGUUCUUGGGUCGUAAAACUCUGUUGUUAGAGAAGAACAAGGACGUUAUUAACUGAACGUCCCCAGACGGUAUCUAACCAGAAAGCCACGGCUAACUACGGGGCAGCAGCCGCGGUAAUACGUAGGUGGCAAGCGUUGUCCGGAUUUAUUGGGCGUAAAGCGAGCGCAGGCGGUUUCUUAAGUCUGCUGUGAAAGCCCCCGGCUCAACCGGGGAGGGUCAUUGGAAACUGGAAGCCUUGAGUGCAGAAGAGGAGGUUGGAAUUCCAUGUGUAGCGGUGAAAUGCGUAGAUAUAUGGAGGAACACCAGUGGCGAAGGCGGCUCUCUGGUCUGUAACUGACGCUGAGGCUCGAAAGCGUGGGGAGCAAACGGG
Molecule: ribosomal RNA, 429 nt
Filed under: Chloroflexota bacterium
Lineage: Bacteria; Bacillati; Chloroflexota
Description: Chloroflexi bacterium partial 16S ribosomal RNA
Rfam family: Bacterial small subunit ribosomal RNA
Source: RNAcentral